This 490-nucleotide ribosomal RNA is filed under the name uncultured bacterium. Its description in RNAcentral is "partial 16S ribosomal RNA". It matches the Rfam family "Bacterial small subunit ribosomal RNA", at positions 30 to 507 of the family's 1533-position model. The record is from RNAcentral.
AUUGAACGCUGGCGGCAGGCCUAACACAUGCAAGUCGAACGGUAACAGGAAGCAGCUUGCUGCUUCGCUGACGAGUGGCGGACGGGUGAGUAAUGUCUGGGAAGCUGCCUGAUGGAGGGGGAUAACUACUGGAAACGGUAGCUAAUACCGCAUAAUGUCGCAAGACCAAAGAGGGGGACCUUCGGGCCUCUUGCAAUCGGAUGUGCCCAGAUGGGAUUAGCUUGUUGGUGGGGUAACGGCUCACCAAGGCGACGAUCCCUAGCUGGUCUGAGAGGAUGACCAGCCACACUGGAACUGAGACACGGUCCAGACUCCUACGGGAGGCAGCAGUGGGGAAUAUUGGACAAUGGGCGCAAGCCUGAUGCAGCCAUGCCGCGUGUAUGAAGAAGGCCUUCGGGUUGUAAAGUACUUUCAGCGGGGAGGAAGGGAGUAAAGUUAAUACCUUUGCGCAUUGACGUUACCCGCAGAAGAAGCACCGGCUAACUCCGUG